GUUUUCUUUUUAUUUAUUUUUUUCAGAUUCAAAAUACAGUAAUACAUUUAUUCUCUUUAUAAAUAUACCAAUGAUACUACAAAAAAAAAAAAAGAAAUCCAGUGUGUAUAUCAUUAAGGGUUAAUAAAGUGCUGGCUUAGUGUUGCUGGAAGCUACACCACCAAAACCAAGAUUCCAUUCAUAAAACCUGAAGGUUGCAUUAAAACCAUUAUGUGUUGCAAAACAAAACCUUGACCAUUAAAACAUGCAUUCGAGAUGAGAAAACGCAUUGCGAAUCCUCUAACCGCUGUGUAACUCUGCCAGGCUUC
Long non-coding RNA from Spea bombifrons (plains spadefoot toad), 308 nucleotides. RefSeq lists it as uncharacterized. The transcript has 2 exons. The record is from RefSeq and is a predicted model, not a curated record. NCBI's taxonomy places the organism in Eukaryota, Metazoa, Chordata, Amphibia, Anura, Pelobatidae.